RNAcentral lists this ribosomal RNA (254 nucleotides) under uncultured bacterium. Its description in RNAcentral is "partial 16S ribosomal RNA". It matches the Rfam family "Bacterial small subunit ribosomal RNA", at positions 524 to 776 of the family's 1533-position model. The record is from RNAcentral.
UACGUAGGAUGCAAGCGUUGUCCGGAAUUAUUGGGCGUAAAGAGCGCGCAGGCGGUAUGACAAGUCAGAUGUGAAAGAGGCCGGCUUAACCGGCAAGGGUCAUUUGAAACUGUCAGACUAGAGUGCAGCAGAGGAUAGUGGAAUUCCCGGUGUAGUGGUGAAAUGCGUAGAUAUCGGGAGGAACACCAGUGGCGAAGGCGACUAUCUGGGCUGCAACUGACGCUGAGGCGCGAAGGCUAGGGGUAGCAAACAGG